GACGAACGCUGGCGGCGUGCUUAACACAUGCAAGUCGAACGGAAAGGCCCUGCUUUUGUGGGGUGCUCGAGUGGCGAACGGGUGAGUAACACGUGAGUAACCUGCCCUUGACUUUGGGAUAACUUCAGGAAACUGGGGCUAAUACCGGAUAGGAGCUCCUGCUGCAUGGUGGGGGUUGGAAAGUUUCGGCGGUUGGGGAUGGACUCGCGGCUUAUCAGCUUGUGGGUGGGGUAGUGGCUUACCAAGGCUUUGACGGGUAGCCGGCCUGAGAGGGUGACCGGCGACAUUGGGACGGGGGUGCGGCCCAGACUCCUACGGGAGGCAGCAGUGGAGAAUAUUGCACAAGGGGCGGAAGCCUGAUGCAGCAACGCCGCGUGCGGGAUGACGGCCUUCGGGUUGUAAACCGCUUUCGCCUGUGACGAAGCGUGAGUGACGGUAAUGGGUAAAGAAGCACCGGCUAACUACGUG
This 468-nucleotide ribosomal RNA is filed under the name uncultured bacterium. RNAcentral describes it as "partial 16S ribosomal RNA". It matches the Rfam family "Bacterial small subunit ribosomal RNA", at positions 28 to 507 of the family's 1533-position model. The record is from RNAcentral.